This 371-nucleotide ribosomal RNA is filed under the name Tiarina fusus. Its description in RNAcentral is "Tiarina fusa partial Eukaryotic large subunit ribosomal RNA". It matches the Rfam family "Eukaryotic large subunit ribosomal RNA", at positions 2969 to 3386 of the family's 3401-position model. Lineage: Eukaryota; Ciliophora; Prostomatea; Prorodontida; Colepidae. The record is from RNAcentral.
CGUCGUGAGACAGGUUAGUUUUAUCCUACUAACAAAUUUUUGUAUGCCGAGACAGUAAACUUGCUCAGUACGAGAGGAAGUAGCAAGUUCUCACAGUUAGUUCAUGGAGCUCGCUGAGCAGCGAUUGCUCCGAAGCCAAGUGUGUCGAGAUAAAGGUUGAAGGCCUCUAAACCCGAAUCUCAACUGGCCAUCGGUGUAUAUGAGUGUGGCAAUGUUUGGAAAGAAAUAUGUGCUUUUAGUACAUGGAUCCUUAUUUUGAGAAUAACUCGAUAAUUGCUGCGCGAGUGAUCAAUUAUAGACGAUUUUGUUGGAACAGGCUGCUGUACGCACAUGAGCGAACUUGUUUCGCGAGUUGUUGAGGCUUUGGCCUG